CCUACGGGAGGCAGCAGUGGGGAAUCUUCCACAAUGGGCGAAAGCCUGAUGGAGCAACGCCGCGUGAGUGAAGAAGGUCUUCGGAUCGUAAAGCUCUGUUGUACGGGACGAAAACCGGGGAUGAGAAUAUUGUCUCCGGGUGACGGUACCGUACGAGGAAGCCACGGCUAACUACGUGCCAGCAGCCGCGGUAAUACGUAGGUGGCGAGCGUUGUCCGGAAUUAUUGGGCGUAAAGGGAGCGCAGGCGGGCAUAUAAGUCCAUCUUAAAAGUGCGGGGCUCAACCCCGUGAGGGGAUGGAAACUGUAUGUCUUGAGUGCAGGAGAGGAAAGCGGAAUUCCCAGUGUAGCGGUGAAAUGCGUAGAUAUUGGGAGGAACACCAGUGGCGAAGGCGGCUUUCUGGACUGUAACUGACGCUGAGGCUCGAAAGCCAGGGGAGCGAACGGGAUUAGAUACCCUAGUAGUC
This 465-nucleotide ribosomal RNA is filed under the name uncultured Selenomonas sp. RNAcentral describes it as "bacterial SSU rRNA". It matches the Rfam family "Bacterial small subunit ribosomal RNA", at positions 338 to 795 of the family's 1533-position model. Lineage: Bacteria; Bacillati; Bacillota; Negativicutes; Selenomonadales; Selenomonadaceae. The record is from RNAcentral.